CUCCCGCCGGCGACCGGCGCACGGGUGAGUAACACGUAUGAAACCUGCCCGUAGCAGGGGGAUAAGCGGAAGAAAUUCCGUCUAAUACCGCGUAACAACCCAUGGAGGCAUCUCUGUGGGUUUAAAGGAAGCGAUUCCGGCUACGGAUGGUCAUGCGUCGCAUUAGCUUGUUGGCGGGGUAACGGCCCACCAAGGCGACGAUGCGUAGGGGUUCUGAGAGGAAGGUCCCCACACUGGUACUGAGACACGGACCAGACUCCUACGGAAGGCAGCAG
This 275-nucleotide ribosomal RNA is filed under the name uncultured bacterium. RNAcentral describes it as "partial 16S ribosomal RNA". It matches the Rfam family "Bacterial small subunit ribosomal RNA", at positions 82 to 354 of the family's 1533-position model. The record is from RNAcentral.